This 1405-nucleotide ribosomal RNA is filed under the name uncultured Rhizaria. RNAcentral's name for it is "SSU rRNA". It matches the Rfam family "Eukaryotic small subunit ribosomal RNA", at positions 384 to 1803 of the family's 1831-position model. The record is from RNAcentral.
CGGAGAGGGCGCCUGAGAAACGGCUACCACUUCUAAGGAAGGCAGCAGGCGCGCAAAUUACCCAAUCCUGACUCAGGGAGGUAGUGACAAGAAAUAACAAUAAACCGGCUUAUGCCGGUUUAAUUGGAAUGAGUACAAUUUAAACAUCUUAACGAGGAACAAUUGGAGGGCAAGUCUGGUGCCAGCAGCCGCGGUAAUUCCAGCUCCAAUAGCGUAUACUAAAGUUGUUGCAGUUAAAAAGCUCGUAGUUGGAUUUCUGUGGGGACGGAGCGGCCGGACGCAACUUGCGUCUCGAGCUAGCGCUUUCCCCACAUCCUGCCGCGAACCGUGCUACCAUUAGUUUGGUGGCGCUGGGGAUCGGCUCGAUUACUUUGAGAAAAAUAGAGUGUUCAAAGCAGGCCACACGCCUUGAAUAAGUUAGCAUGGAAUAAUGACUAAGGACUUUGGUUCUUUUCGUUGGUGUUCGGGACUGAAGUAAUGAUUGAUAGGGACAGUUGGGGCGGUCCGUAUUCCAAAGCGAGAGGUGAGAUUCUUAGACCUUCGGAAGACGAACAGCUGCGAAAGCGUUCCGCAAGGAUGUUCCCUUUGAUCAAGAACGAAAGUUGGGGGAUCGAAGACGAUCAGAUACCGUCGUAGUCUCAACUAUAAACUAUACCAGCUAGGGAUCGGCCAACGUUUAAUUAUUCGACUUGGUCGGCACCUUAUGAGAAAUCAAAGCAUCUGGGUUCCGGGGGGAGUAUGGUCGCAAGGCUGAAACUUAAAGGAAUUGACGGAAGGGCACCACCAGGCGUGGAGCCUGUGGCUUAAUUUGACUCAACACGGGAAAACUUACCAGGUCCAGACAUAGGAAGGAUUGACAGAUUGAUAGCUCUUUCUUGAUUCUGUGGGUGGUGGUGCAUGGCCGUUUUUAGUCGGUGAAGUGAUUUGUCUGCUUAAUUGCGUUAACGGACGAGACCCCAGCCUGCUAAAUAGCGCGGCCGAGCUUUGCUCGGUACGAGCUUCUUAGAGGGACCAUGAUGCGCGAUAGCACAAGGAAGUUUGGGGCAACAACAGGUCUGUGAUGCCCUUAGAUGUUCUGGGCCGCACACGGGCUACACUGGCGCCUGCAACGAGCAUAUCAGCUGGCCCGAGAGGGACUUGGCUAAUCUUUUGAACCGGCGCCGUGCUUGGGAUUGACCUUUGCAAUUGUUGGUCAUGCAACGAGGAAUGCCUUGUAAACGCGAGUCAUCAGCUCGCAUUGAAUACGUCCCUGCCCUUUGUACACACCGCCCGUCGCUCCUACCGAUGAAUGUUCCGAUGAAAUUUUCGGAGAGUGCCUGUGAAGCAGGCUCCGCCUGUCGAACGGGAUGCUCAAAGUCACUUAAAUCUGAACAUUUCGAGGAAGGAGAAGUCGUAACAAGGUAAC